GACGAACGCUGGCGGCGUGCUUAACACAUGCAAGUCGAACGGAAAGGCCCUGCUUUUGUGGGGUGCUCGAGUGGCGAACGGGUGAGUAACACGUGAGUAACCUGCCCUUGACUUUGGGAUAACUUCAGGAAACUGGGGCUAAUACCGGAUAGGAGCUCCUGCUGCAUGGUGGGGGUUGGAAAGUUUCGGCGGUUGGGGAUGGACUCGCGGCUUAUCAGCUUGUUGGUGGGGUAGUGGCUUACCAAGGCUUUGACGGGUAGCCGGCCUGAGAGGGUGACCGGCCACAUGGGGACUGAGAUACGGACCAGAAUCCUACGGGAGGCAGCAGUGGGGAAUAUUGCACAAUGGGCGGAAGCCUGAUGCAGAAACGCCGCGUGCGGGAUGACGGCCUUCGGGUUGUAAACCGCUUUCGCCUGUGACGAAGCGUGAGUGACGGUAAUGGGUAAAGAAGCACCGGCUAACUACGUG
Molecule: ribosomal RNA, 468 nt
Filed under: uncultured bacterium
Lineage: Bacteria
Description: partial 16S ribosomal RNA
Rfam family: Bacterial small subunit ribosomal RNA
Source: RNAcentral